Molecule: transfer RNA, 73 nt
Filed under: bacterium
Lineage: Bacteria
Description: tRNA-Thr
Rfam family: tRNA
About the family: Transfer RNA (tRNA) molecules are approximately 80 nucleotides in length. Their secondary structure includes four short double-helical elements and three loops (D, anti-codon, and T loops).
Source: RNAcentral
GCCACCUUAGCUUUAGUGGUAGAGCAAGGCUUUCGUAAAGCCGAGGUCCCGGGUUCGAGUCCCGGAGGUGGCU